UUAAGCCACUUGUGUUCUCUAAAGAUGAGAAGAUCAUAAGAGAAGGAGAUCCAGUGCACAGGGUUGUGUUCAUUGUUCGUGGACGUGUAAAAAGUAGCCAAAACCUCAGUAAAGGAGUGAUUGCCACAAGCAUACUUGAGCCUGGAGGCUUCUUUGGAGAUGAACUUCUUUCCUGGUGCUUACGCCGUCCCUUUAUUGACAGACUUCCAGCUUCUUCCGCAACCUUCACUUGCAUUGAAUCUACAGAAGCAUUUGGCUUAGAUGCAAACCACCUUCGAUUUAUCACGGAUCACUUCAGAUACAAAUUUGCAAACGAGAGGCUGAAGAGAACAGCAAGGUAUUAUUCAUCCAAUUGGAGAACCUGGGCUGCUGUGAAUAUACAGUUAGCUUGGCGACGUUACAUGAUGAGGACUAGCCGUCCCACUAUACAUGUGAUCGAAAAUGGGGAUAAUGAUCAUCGUCUUCGCAAGUAUGCUGCAAUGUUCUUGUCAAUCAGA
RNAcentral lists this unclassified non-coding RNA (497 nucleotides) under Hevea brasiliensis (rubber tree). The record is from RNAcentral. Lineage: Eukaryota; Viridiplantae; Streptophyta; Magnoliopsida; Malpighiales; Euphorbiaceae.